This is a long non-coding RNA of Acinonyx jubatus (cheetah), 2572 nucleotides long. RefSeq lists it as uncharacterized. The record is from RefSeq and is a predicted model, not a curated record. The transcript is spliced from 4 exons. NCBI's taxonomy places the organism in Eukaryota, Metazoa, Chordata, Mammalia, Carnivora, Felidae.
GUCAAAAUAAGUAAACAUUAAAAAAAGAAAAAACAUAGAUAAAAAUUAUGAUUGUUGGUUAUAUCCUGACUUAGAGGAUGCAUUUUAAAAUACUAUAAAUAGCAUGUAGACAUUAAAUCCUUUUAUGUGAACAUAAUUUUUAGUGGCUGCACCGUGUGAGAAUCUAAGUCUUGAGGGGAGAAUAGGAAUUAAUCCAAUCCACAAAUAAAUACGUAAUUUCUGCUUUGAUAAGGAGAUGGUCCAGUAAAAGAGUACACGAUAGGGGAUUUGACAUGGGGGUCAGGAAAAGCUUCCACAUCACAAGAGGGUGAUGACUCAUUGGAAUCUAAAUGAUAAUUCCAAGUGCCCCUAGCGCACUAGGCAGGGAUGGCAUAGAGAUGGCAUGAGAAGGGACUCCCAGGAAAGAUGACAACUUGAAGGCAUUGACUCUGAAUUUGGGUGGAACAGGACUCUCAGACUUCAGUCAGCCCCACGUACCCCAGGACUUUUCAAGAGACGUCCUCAUUUCAGCUGGAUUUCAACCCAGUAGAAUGCUGGAGAAGUGGAGGCCACCCUGGAUCCUAAGAAAAGCUGGCACAGAAAAAGCCUUAUCUCAAGAAAUGGCGCCUUGUUGGGAGUGGACUUUCUUCUUACCAUCCAAUUCCAGGAGUGGUGCAGCAGGCGUAUUGCAACACUGACGAGGAUUCGGAUUCGUUGACAGUGUCUCCGCAAACGGGUGGUCUCCAGGUGAUGCUGCUGGUCUGGGGCCACACUCUGAGAGCCGCUGAGUUUUCGAGCAGCUGCUCUUGUGCCUGGACUGAUCCUCACUGCAAUUCAGCCAGGAAGUUUCCUUACCCGCAUUUGAGAUCCCAGGUCCAGAAGAGGGAAGUGGCGUCCUCAGAAGCACACAGGUGUGGCUGACUUCACAUCCACCCCUCUGUACACUAAACUGCAGCAGCUUUCUCAACGUCGAUUUUAAAGCCAGUGCGUCAAAUCAAGAAUCCUGGUGAGGGCCUGCCCGUCCCUCUGGGCUGUCCUGGAGUCACGGCAAGGAGCCGGAGUAAAGCCUUACAGAGUCACUCACCCUGACUUGGAUAUUUUGCUAAAUAGAGCUUGGGAGGAAGUUCUCGGACACACGCUUCAGUCUGUGUAUCUGUGGUCCCUGACUCCCUGUGCCCCACGCCCAGGAAUGAUGACCCUGUCCCUUCUGAGCACGGCAAACGGCCCUCUGGUGGACUAAAAGAGUUAAUGCAAUUUCCGAAAGGUUUAACAUGGGAAGCACAGGGCGUCAGAACUCCUCUGCGUUGAGGCUCAGUGCUGGCUGUGGCCUGGACUCACCUGAGGCGGGUGAAAAAUGCCAACCGUGAGCCCCAACGCCAGAGCUGCUCCUGCCGCUGGGUUUGGGGUUAUCUAGCAGCCCAGGCAUCCUGUCGUUCAAAAGAAAAGCGUUCCAGGUGAAUUCUGAGAUCAGCCAGAGGUAAGAACCGCUGGAGCAUGGAUCAGAAUCCCCCGGAGAGCUUGUUAAAACACACAUUUCAAAGCUCCACCCCCACCCCCACCCCCCAGAGAUGCCAAUUCAGUGAGUCUGGGUUGGAGCAACAGAAUUUGCAUUUCUAACAAACUGCUGGGUGAUGCUGAUCCCGCCUUCCAGAACCGGACUUGGAGCCAGCACGCUCAUCCAUGUCAUGUUCAGAGAACCGCUCAGAACCACCGAGGAGUGAUUGCUUCACAUCACAGAGCCACUGACUUGCACAUUCUGGGUGACAACUCAGCCUGGCUGACUGUAGCCUGAGGCGUGCUUUGCUACUGGGGCUCAGCACCUCCAUUCAGCAGACCCUUGCUUAUUAAGUGCUUAUUAAUAAGCACUUGGUGCUAUUCUAGGUGCUGGGGGAAGAGGGGUGAGGAUGAGAAGGACAGUCACGGUUCCUGUCCUCCCAGAGCUUAUGUUCAAGUGAGGCGGUUUCAACCAGGGAUGAUUUCAUUCCCCUCCUCCCCACCGGGGACACUUGGGAAUGAAUGUCUAGAGACAUUUCUAGUUGUCACAACUGGGACAGAAGGAGAGGGAUGCCACUAGCAUCUAGUGGGUCAAGGCUAGGGAUACUGCUACAUGUCCUACAGUGCACAAGAGAGCCCCCUGCAACACAGAACGAUCUGGCCCAAAAUGUCAGUAGUCCUGAGGCUGAGAAACCCUGGCCCGUUGGCAAGACAGACAUAUAAGCAGGUGAUUAAAAUACACUGGGGGUGACAUGUGCGAUGGAAGACGUGAGGGUGCUGUUGGAUCCAGAGAAAGGGACCUCAUCCACGGGUCUGGGGUCUCAGGAGUUCUAGAAGAGGUAAUAUCUAAGCUGGAAACAGAAGGAUGAGUCAAACAAGGCAGUAAGUUUGGGGUGCAUAAAGAAUGUUUACUUUGGGGGCACCUGGGUGGCUCAGUCGGUUAAGCAGCCAAAUUGGGCUCAAGUCAUGUUCUUGUGGUUCACAGGUUCAGGCCCCGCAUCAGGCUCUGUGCUGACAGAUCAGAGCCUAGAGCCUGCUUGGGAUUCUCUGUCUCCCUUUCUUUCUGCCUGCUCCCCCCUCCCCCCGCCCCACCACAUGC